AGCUUUGCGCAGUGGCAGUAUCGUGGCCAAUAAGGUUUAUCUGAGGCACAGUUAUUGCUAAUUGAAGAAAAUAAUCAUGGCCAUCACACCCAUAAGUUUCCUCAUGGACUUAUAUAAUCUAUCUCUUCUCCCCUAACCCUAGGAA
RNAcentral lists this small nuclear RNA (145 nucleotides) under Vulpes vulpes (red fox). RNAcentral's name for it is "U4 spliceosomal RNA (ENSVVUG00000000320.1)". It matches the Rfam family "U4 spliceosomal RNA". Rfam says of the family: U4 small nuclear RNA (U4 snRNA) is a component of the major U2-dependent spliceosome. The structure of U4 snRNA from yeast and human has been reported. The record is from Rfam by way of RNAcentral. Lineage: Eukaryota; Metazoa; Chordata; Mammalia; Carnivora; Canidae.